Molecule: long non-coding RNA, 925 nt
Filed under: Homo sapiens (human)
Lineage: Eukaryota; Metazoa; Chordata; Mammalia; Primates; Hominidae
Description: novel transcript
Source: RNAcentral
CGUGUGCCGCUGGGUGGCCCUGCGAGCCGCCGCUCUCCGCCUCUCUAGGCUCAGCUUCCAUCACCGCGUGGCGGAGCCCGUGUCCGGGCCAGGGUGGCUUGUGUGGUAGAGCCAGGGGAAUGGAGAAGAUGACCUCUGAAGCCUGAAGGCUCUUUGGGAAGCAGGACACAAACAUCCUGAAGAGCCAGCCUUGAGCUGGCUGCACAAGAGACUCAUAGACUUUGCGUCAACAUCCACCUCUCCAGGCUGCAGUGGGUGUACCUGUUCACCACCACCUCCAGCAGCACUGUCGCAGCGGAGCAGUUCUUACAGCCAAUGAGCUUCCACACCACCUCCCUGCAGUUCUCUGCAACCGAGGCUCCAUCCUGCACUGAUGGGCUGCCUGACACGUCGGCCUCAACAAGCAUUUCCAGCACAUUCUCAGCUUUCCUGCUCUGCUGGGCAAAACACAGGGUGAGAAGGGGAGAGGAAGAACGGGACUGUGGCCCAGUUCUAGGCUUGGAGUCUAGCGAGGAACACCAGGUGCCUGCAUUAAAAGUAUUUCUGCCUGUCACUUAUUAUCUGGUUGAGCUGGUGGCGGGAGUCCCGGCCCAUGUGUGUUACCAGAGGGAUGGUCUAGAGAAUGAAUCCAUCUGUCAGAGGCAUCCAAGAAGAAAGGCCUGGGCCAGGAUCACAUGGAAGACCCUGAAGACAGGAUCGGGUCUUGCCUGCCUGGAUUGAACAGAGACGCAGUGACCAGUCCCAUCUGCUCCCACCCUGCUGCCCUCUGAAUCGAGAGUUUGAGGCCAUGACCAGGGUAACGUUCAGCUGGUAGAGACAACACAACCCUGCUGGCUGUUUAAGCCAUGCUGGAGUGGUGCUCACAGGGUAACAAUUGUAAGUAUUUUGAAUAUCACCUCUUAAUCAAAAUUAAGAUCAAUAGACA